GAAGUUGGAAUUGCUAGUAAUCGCGGAUCAGCAUGCCGCGGUGAAUACGUUCCCGGGCCUUGUACACACCGCCCGUCACACCAUGAGAGUCGGGAACACCCGAAGUCCGUAGUCUAACCGCAAGGAGGGCGCGGCCGAAGGUGGGUUCGAUAAUUGGGGUGAAGUCGUAACAAGGUAAC
This 179-nucleotide ribosomal RNA is filed under the name uncultured bacterium. RNAcentral describes it as "partial 16S ribosomal RNA". It matches the Rfam family "Bacterial small subunit ribosomal RNA", at positions 1322 to 1500 of the family's 1533-position model. The record is from RNAcentral.